AGGGAGCUGUCGAAGGUGGGAUCGGCGAUUGGGACGAAGUCGUAACAAGGUAGCCGUACCGGAAGGUGCGGCUGGAUCACCUCCUUUCUAAGGAGCACCACGAGAUCUGGGCCGGCCCGCAUGUCGCGGAUCAGCCGAGUCCCAGACGAUUCGAUGGAUGGGCCGCGCCUGUAGUGGGUGUGGUUCUGGUGCACAACAAACGUUGACCGGUUCGGGAGCCUUUCGGGCGCCGGUGAAAAGAACUGCUGGACACACUAUUGGGCUUUGAGACAACAAGCCCGCGGGCUCAUCCCGGUUGGGGUGGGUGCCGGCCCCCUUGGAGGGGGUUCUUGUUGUUGCCCUGCUUUGGUGGUGGGGUGUGGUGUUUGAUUUGUGGAUAGUGGUUGCGAGCAUCUAGGCAGCGAGCGUGUG
RNAcentral lists this unclassified non-coding RNA (411 nucleotides) under Mycobacterium hubeiense. RNAcentral's name for it is "Mycobacterium sp. QGD 101 partial 16S-23S ribosomal RNA intergenic spacer". The stretch from base 1 to 87 matches the Rfam family "Bacterial small subunit ribosomal RNA", at positions 1447 to 1533 of the family's 1533-position model. Lineage: Bacteria; Bacillati; Actinomycetota; Actinomycetes; Mycobacteriales; Mycobacteriaceae. The record is from RNAcentral.